Non-coding RNA from Pelobates cultripes (western spadefoot toad), 305 nucleotides. NCBI's taxonomy places the organism in Eukaryota, Metazoa, Chordata, Amphibia, Anura, Pelobatidae. The record is from the annotation of a GenBank genome assembly.
CACUAACUGAGAUCUUCAUAGAUCAACUUCCUGUGGAUGAACAUAGUCACUUUAAUAACAGCGAUAAUAUGGAUAGUUUUAAAUAUGCUAUAGAGUUUACUUGUCCAAUAAAUAUGGAACAUCCAUCUGGACUCACUCAGGUAAAGAUAGGGGCAUUGUUAGGGCCAGAAAAUACAUGGGACAUGAGCCCAAAAAUAAUUUUGGGAUGCCUUCUUAAGCCCUACACUGACCCCUCCAUAAUUGCACUACUUAACACGCCUCUUUUUAAAAUUUAAAAUUGGAACAAGGAAAUCGGUCCUUUUUUU